Cinara cedri is the source of this 230-nucleotide non-coding RNA. Lineage: Eukaryota; Metazoa; Arthropoda; Insecta; Hemiptera; Aphididae. The record is from the annotation of a GenBank genome assembly.
CGACGCCACCGCCGCCAUCAUCACUACCACCAUCAUCAUCACCGUCACCAUCAACAUCAACACCAUCACCAUCGUCUGCAGCCGCCGGAGCAGCAGCCUCCGGAGCACCGUGACCGGCGACGGGGGGCGAAUUCGCCGUCGACGGCGCCGCCACCGUCCGCUGAUUGCCGCACCCGGGUAGCGUGCGCCGCUGCGGAUCCCGCUACGGAAACGACGACGGCCGUGCGGCC